CGAACGCUGGCGGCGCGCCUAACACAUGCAAGUCGAACGAGCGAGAGAGAGCUUGCUUUCUCGAGCGAGUGGCGAACGGGUGAGUAACGCGUGAGGAACCUGCCUCAAAGAGGGGGACAACAGUUGGAAACGACUGCUAAUACCGCAUAGGCCCACGGUGCCGCAUGGCACAGAGGGAAAAGGAGCAAUCCGCUUUGAGAUGGCCUCGCGUCCGAUUAGCUAGUUGGUGAGGUAACGGCCCACCAAGGCGACGAUCGGUAGCCGGACUGAGGGGUUGAACGGCCACAUUGGGACUGAGACACGGCCCAGACUCCUACGGGAGGCAGCAGUGGGGAAUAUUGCACAAUGGGGGAAACCCUGAUGCAGCGACGCCGCGUGGAGGAAGAAGGUCUUCGGAUUGUAAACUCCUGUUGUUGGGGAAGAUAAUGACGGUACCCAACAAGGAAGUGACGGCUAACUACGUGCCAGCAGCCGCGGUAAAACGUAGGUCACAAGCGUUGUCCGGAAUUACUGGGUGUAAAGGGAGCGCAGGCGGGAAGACAAGUUGGAAGUGAAAUCUAUGGGCUCAACCCAUAAACUGCUUUCAAAACUGUUUUUCUUGAGUAGUGCAGAGGUAGGCGGAAUUCCCGGUGUAGCGGUGGAAUGCGUAGAUAUCGGGAGGAACACCAGUGGCGAAGGCGGCCUACUGGGCACCAACUGACGCUGAGGCUCGAAAGU
Molecule: ribosomal RNA, 717 nt
Filed under: uncultured Lachnospiraceae bacterium
Lineage: Bacteria; Bacillati; Bacillota; Clostridia; Lachnospirales; Lachnospiraceae
Description: bacterial SSU rRNA
Rfam family: Bacterial small subunit ribosomal RNA
Source: RNAcentral